AAAUAAUUUCCUCUGUCACUGCAUGCAUCACACAGGGGAAUGUCAAUAAGGAUUGGUAAAUGUCAGCUGUGCUGAGCAAUGUAAUUACAUGCUUGCAUUGAGAAGCUAACGCCUUGCUGCAGAAUGCUAGCAGGAAUCUGUGAGGAGUCAGGUCCUGUAAACCAGCCAUCAUCAGCAACAUCACGUAAUGAAGUCCUAGAACUGCAGGCUUCUCUGCUUCAGUGCUCUUGGGAGAGGUGAAUGGAAAACACUUGAAAGAAACCUGCUGCAAGCAGUGAGGGCAUUUGUCAUAUAUGGAAUGAAAAGAUAAAAUGGAAGAAAUAAUCAGUUUGGUUUUCAGACUCAUUUCCAUUGUCACUAGAUGGCACAUUGGUCUAAAGUUUCAGAGCCAUCACUGUGGUGUUGAUCACAGUUACAGCAGCUGCAUGGACAAAUUAUAAACUAUAUAUGGGAAACAGCCAGGACAUCACUAUGUAAGUGACUGCCCUCAGUAUGUGUAUGGUGGUACAGUUCUGUAGAUAACUUUGUGAGACUGUUGUUUUGUAUAUAACUGUUAUAUUGGGUAGAGAUGGCUGAUGUUUAGGUACUAACAUCCAAGAUAGUUGUGGGGAAGGAAAGGAUGAAGGUGCCUGUCUGACUGCCACAUUUACAGACUGAUCUGCUUUGUACUCGUAGCAGCUGGAUGUCAUGUCUGGCUGUACGCAUCAGUGCUUCCCAAAAACAGCUUUUAUUAUGCAGAGGCUCAUAAUUAACAGGAAGAUCUUAGGAGCUCUAACUGUAAAUGAGUAAAAUAAGUUGUAAUAAUGGGGAGACAAAUAAUAAGGAUUUCUGUAUUAGUCUGCAGAGGUGUAGGCUGCCUCCAGAAUCUCAACCGGGUUCUUUUAGAUGGUAGUUUAGAUGCUAUUCUGAAAAUGUUGAAAAGGGCAAGGCAGAAGUACACUGCAUUACAUGUAGUCUUUAUUUUAUGCCAGAAAUAAAUGU
Gallus gallus (chicken) is the source of this 981-nucleotide long non-coding RNA. Lineage: Eukaryota; Metazoa; Chordata; Aves; Galliformes; Phasianidae. The record is from Ensembl.